Gossypium raimondii (Peruvian cotton) is the source of this 362-nucleotide non-coding RNA. NCBI's taxonomy places the organism in Eukaryota, Viridiplantae, Streptophyta, Magnoliopsida, Malvales, Malvaceae. The record is from Rfam.
GAAAUGUGUUGAGGCGCAGUAGUUGACUGGACAUAUAGGGGUAAAGCAUUGUUUCGGUGCAAGCCGCGAGAGUAGUACUAAAUUGAGGCAAACUUUGAAUACUAGAUAUGACCUCAAAAUAACAGGGGUCUAGGUCGACUAGUGAGAUGAUGGGGGAUAAGCUUCAUCGUCGAAAGGGAAACAACCCGAAUCACCAGCUAAAGCCCUUAAAUAACCACUCAGUGAUAAAAUAGGUAGGGUGCAGAGACAGGCAAGAGGUUUGCACUCAAAGGUAGGGUAUUUCCCAUUUUUAUAGGAACUUUUGUACCAAAAACAAUGGUAUCUCCAAUUCUAGCCCCUCUGGGAUGUAAAAUAUAUCUCUU